This is a long non-coding RNA of Bactrocera oleae (olive fruit fly), 1306 nucleotides long. RefSeq lists it as uncharacterized. Lineage: Eukaryota; Metazoa; Arthropoda; Insecta; Diptera; Tephritidae. The record is from RefSeq and is a predicted model, not a curated record.
GAUUAUAAGCGUAUGCAAAAAAACACAAGAACGAUUUACAAAUUGUUCUAAUUAAUUUCACUGAAUGUAAAUAACUGAUGCAACAGUUCCUACUUCUAAUUAUUAAAAUAUAUAAAGAAAUCUCAAACGAGAAUGCCAUUUGACUAUGCGAGAGUAUAAAAUGUUCGGUUACAUCCGAACUUAGUACUUCCUUAUUUGUUUUAAAUAUAAUUUUAAUAUUAUUGUUUUAUUACGAAUGUGGAUUUAUCUUUAAAUUUUAUUGGAUAUCCGUUUGACUUUUAAGCUAUUCACAAUUAUUAAACUUUUAAUUUUUACACGAUAAGUUCUCUUUUUGUACAUUUCUAAUAGAAAUCGAUAACUUUUGCUAUCUAACUCGCCAGGGUGUGGACUAGUAGGGAUUGUUUCUCAUAUUUCAUUAAUUUUUAUGUUUCAAAUUUCAAAUUUUGAAAUGCGCAGUUUUUAACCGUUGUAUGCAGGGGCCUUAGCCAGCAUAAAAUCAGCAACGCGAACUACGUAGUUGCCAGUAUUUUCGGCAUGACAGAAAACGUCUCUUUAUAACGUUUUCGUAAACAACAAAAAUUUCAAUUCUUAAAACAAAACAAGGAUAUUUGUACUAACUAAUAAAAGAACCAUCCAAGCCAUAGUGCCAAUUUUAUGGUGAAACGUGUUUAAGCAACCAGUGAUUCAAUUUCGAAAGGACUACUUUGUAACUCAAAGGCUCCAUCACCACUCAUUGCCGACGAGGUAUUGAUUUUAGCGGAUUUAUGCAAACCCCUUGCUCCUUUUUAAGAUGCUACUGCGCAAACUUCAUCUAGCAACACUGUCAGCAUUUCUUUGAUAAUUCCACUAUUUUCGUGAAAACAUCUGACGAGUUUGUAUUGGCUAGUUUUUUGAUAGAGCGCAUAAAAAUACGUCUUUUUCAUUACGAAAACCGCACCGUCACAAAAAAGGCAAGUAUUUUGGACGCAAAAGAGAAAAUUUUCGUUCCUCCUCAAUCGCUGAUGUUUCCUCAAUGAAAAAAAAAUUAAGAGAAGAUUGAAUCAAACCGAGUGGAUGCAAUAAUUGCAGUCCGUUAAUAUCUCGAGCGGCCAAAUGCUUCAUCUUUGGACUAUUGGAAGCAACAAAAAUGAUUCAAUGUCUCUCAACAUCUGUGCCAGUCGAUACCUUUGUGUACCAGCUACUUCUACCACGUCGAAGAAAAUAUUUAGCCAGGCUGAAGUCUAAAACCGUCAAUAAAUUCUUAUCUUUAAACAAAAAUAAGUGGAUUAUUGACGAAUAAAGUCUAUGAAAACGUUUUUUAAGUAUA